UGCAUUUCAUGGCUAAGAUCAACAAUUGCUUCAAUCACAAUCCCAAGGAAUGGUUGUGGGUUUUUUUGUUUUUGUUUUUGUUCCUUUUUUUAGAAAUUUGCUGAGCAGUUGCAUCACUGAAUAUUUCUUUUUGGACACAGCAGUUUCAGUAUUUUGGUAUCUUAGUUACUAUUGAUUGCUCUAUCCACAGGAAGUCGAUGACUAACAAGAAGGCAGUGAGGAUAUACAGUAUCACAACAGGAAAGUUUCUUGAGAUCACCUAAUAAGUUACUCUGGAUUGUCAUCGAGGGUCGAGAGAGCAGAAAGACCAGCUUAGAAGACUAUUUUAACAAUACAGGUCUCUCAUGCUUCUAAGACAGAUAAAAGUAUAUUCUUUAAAAUGUAAGUACAUUUUCAGCAU
This is a long non-coding RNA of Sapajus apella (tufted capuchin), 400 nucleotides long. RefSeq lists it as uncharacterized. The record is from RefSeq and is a predicted model, not a curated record. The transcript is spliced from 3 exons. Lineage: Eukaryota; Metazoa; Chordata; Mammalia; Primates; Cebidae.